This 1287-nucleotide long non-coding RNA is filed under the name Trifolium pratense (red clover). Its description in RNAcentral is "long non-coding RNA (TPRA_LNC006446)". The record is from RNAcentral. Lineage: Eukaryota; Viridiplantae; Streptophyta; Magnoliopsida; Fabales; Fabaceae.
UUAAAAGUUUAUGCUUCACUUUGAUGAGUUAUAUCCUUGAAAUUUGAUCCUAAUAAUUAUGUGUUCCUGGUUUUGUUGCAGUUUUUUUAUGUCUGGUGUGGAUUGUGUGAAUUUCAUAUUUACUAGUAGUAGUACCAUUCUGGGUGUGAUAGUGGCAUAAAUGUUUUCUCACUUUUUUGUUUUAAUUUUCGAAUCCAUCGUUUAAAAGGAAAGUAAUUUUGUAAUUGUACUCCAAAUUUUUGAAGAGGGGAUAUAAAUAUAUAUUCAAUUCUAAUUAUAAGUAAUAUUAUGAUAUUUGUGGUUCUCUUUUAUCACCCGGUUAAUUGAUUUUUGACUGGUGAAGCAGCAGGAUUCAUAAUCUCGGGCUAAGCCGACAAAGACAUUAGAACCUCUUCAUAAGGAAGAGGAGAACAGGAGGAGGAGGAUGAAAACAUCUUAUGCUAGUAAGCAUUACAGACAUGAUAAUUUCUGGAUUUUAUGUGAUUUCUAUGAGAAGUGGUAUCACAAUCACAAAAAUCGCAGAAAAUUCAAAUAUUGUCCUGGCCAUAAUGCAUACUACAUACAUUGCAUAAGAUGUUUUCAUCCUCAUCUUUCUCUGGUUCCUCUUCCUUAUCUUUAGGUUCCAAUAUCUUUGUCUGUUUAAUCUGGGGUUUUGGAGCCUACUGCUUCACCAUUCAAAAAUCAUAUUAGAAAUCUAACAAGCCAACAGCCAAGCGAUACAUGGCACAUAUCUUGUGAGUGUUGGUCAAAGAAGAGAGAAACAAGGAGAAGCAAAAGAAAAUAAAUAGUAAAUGAAAAUAAGGAAGGUUACGAGAACCUUAUGGAGAAUCUUAAGGAACGCUUAACCAUUUAUUUUCAUUUGUAUUAGCUAUAAAAGCAGUGUGUGUUUCUUUUGUAAGAAUAACAAGCAAUAAGUGAACAAGUAACAAUAACAACCAGCUAGUUACUAAGAGAAGAAAAUUCUAGUAUAGGAAUUUUUGUGAGAAAUAUUUAGAGAGAAAUAUUUCUUUGGGUGUAAUUGGGUUGUGGGUUAUGUGAGAAAAACACUUUGUACAUUUCAUUAUUAUUAAUAUUAGUGUGCUUCCGCAUUAUUUUGCUCUUCCACAAAUCUGAUAAUAUGGGGAAAUUUUGCGUAGUUUCCUAACAACUAGUAUCAGAGCCAGUUGGUUGAUUUUGCUAAUUUUCUAGCGAAUAUAUUAUUCACAUAAAUAGCAACUUUUAUGAAUAGUGCAAAAUUUGGUCGGCGUUACCAAUUUUUCAUAGAGGUGUUCUAAAUCUCGGUGAUUC